RNAcentral lists this transfer RNA (73 nucleotides) under Dipodomys ordii (Ord's kangaroo rat). It matches the Rfam family "tRNA". Rfam says of the family: Transfer RNA (tRNA) molecules are approximately 80 nucleotides in length. The record is from Rfam by way of RNAcentral. Lineage: Eukaryota; Metazoa; Chordata; Mammalia; Rodentia; Heteromyidae.
GGAGAUGUAGGUCAAGUGAUAGAAUGUCUGCCUAGCAAGCACAAAGCCCUGAGUUCAAACCUCAAUACCACCA